RNAcentral lists this ribosomal RNA (216 nucleotides) under Glomeromycotina sp. Its description in RNAcentral is "partial small subunit ribosomal RNA". The stretch from base 76 to 216 matches the Rfam family "Eukaryotic small subunit ribosomal RNA", at positions 722 to 864 of the family's 1831-position model. Lineage: Eukaryota; Fungi; Glomeromycota. The record is from RNAcentral.
GGGUCAGUAGGUUGGUCGUGCCACCGGUACGUACUGGUCCCACUGAUUCCUCCUUCCUGAAGAACCGUAAUGCCCUUAAUUUGGUGUUGCGGGGAAACAGGACUGUUACUUUGAAAAAAUUAGCGUGUUUAAAGCAAGCUAACGCUUGAAUACAUUAGCAUGGAAUAAUGAAAUAGGACGAUCGAUCCUAUUUUGUUGGUUUCUAGGAUUGACGUA